CUGCGUGUUGCCCAGUGUGCUGCCAGCUGCCCGUAGCCCACACCGGGCACACUCUGAUCGAUGGAGUCCCGCCCUCUGUGCUUGUGGAGGAGGACACAACAGCUGCAGAGGGGUGGUGUCGUGGCCAAGGUCGCACAGCUUUAGUGCCACAGCCAGACCCUCAGUGUCCUAUGUCCCCACCCGCCCCUGCUCACGUCUUCCUUUGUGCAGAAGAAGGAGAGAUGCAUCGAUGAGAGAGAAGCGUCGACUGUCUGCCUUUGUACACGCCCAGACCGGGGAUCGUAAGCCUCUGGACCAGGGGUCAUACACACCCGUCCCUGGACCAGGGAUGAACCUGCAACCUAGUCUCACCCGGUAAAACGCAGCGUCCUCCCAUUCUGUCUUGCUUGGUCGCCGGCGACGCUGACCUCCUGUCCUUAUGCCGUCCACUGAUCUUCGGGGGACCCUGAUGUUUCACUUAAACAGUCGUGCCUUCAUUUCAUACAGAAAAGAUAGGAACCCUUCAUCAUCGCUGCCAUGUGGAUUUUUGUAGCUUGUCGACUCUUUUAUUAAAAAAACAGUCAUUGGGACGUACAAACCAAAACAAUGGUGUGAGGCCGCCCCCUCCUGUUGGGGUGGCUGCUGUCAAAAACCCCAGAAAGUUCGUUUUGGGGAGGAUGAAGGGGGCGGGAACCCUCGAGCACUGUUCGUUAGUGGGGCUGUGAACUGGCCGGGCUGGGGAAAGA
Molecule: long non-coding RNA, 725 nt
Organism: Artibeus jamaicensis (Jamaican fruit-eating bat)
Lineage: Eukaryota; Metazoa; Chordata; Mammalia; Chiroptera; Phyllostomidae
Exons: 3
Source: RefSeq, a predicted model, not a curated record